This 462-nucleotide ribosomal RNA is filed under the name uncultured bacterium. RNAcentral's name for it is "partial 16S ribosomal RNA". It matches the Rfam family "Bacterial small subunit ribosomal RNA", at positions 28 to 507 of the family's 1533-position model. The record is from RNAcentral.
GACGAACGCUGGCGGCGUGCUUAACACAUGCAAGUCGAGCGGAAAGGCCCUUCGGGUUACUCGAUCGGCUAACGGGUGAGUAACACGUUAGUAACCUGCCACAGACUUUGUGAUAAUCCUCUGAAAUGGGGGCUAAGACCGUAUACGACACAGCUUUGCAUAGGGUCUGUGUGGAAAGUUUUUCGGUGUUUGAUGGGCGCGCUGCCUAUCAGCUUGUUCGUCGGUUGAUGGCAUACCAGGGCGACGACUGGUAGCCGGCCUGAGAGGGCGACCGGCCACAAUGGGACUGAGACACGGAGCAGAAUCCUAUGGGACGCAACAGUGGGGAAUAUUGCACAACAGCGGGAAGCGAGAGACAGAGAAGCCGCGUGAGGAAUGACCGCCUUCGAGGUAUGAACAACUGUCAGAAGAGACGAAGAGUAAGUGACAGUACCUGAAGAAGAAGCGCCGGCCAACUACGUG